Molecule: non-coding RNA, 29 nt
Filed under: Mus musculus (house mouse)
Lineage: Eukaryota; Metazoa; Chordata; Mammalia; Rodentia; Muridae
Source: RNAcentral
UAAAAGUAAAUUUUCAUUGUAGUGUGUAU